UCCAUCUUGGGAGGUCUUCCAGGAGAAUCUGGAGUACUACUUCUCAUUGAGGGUGUAGUGAAGAUUCCUCUUCAGGGGUGGGUUCCACUAAGCUGUACUCUGGGUCCUUCUGAUGCUAAAAUUCUGUGAUUCACCCUCUCUACUCCUAGGCCUUUAUGAAUAGCUUCUCUCGGGCUGUGGCCUUGGAAUACCAGUCCUCUGGAGUUAUCAUACAGACUCUUACUCCUCUGGCAGUUUCCAGCAACAUGAGCCAGAUGCACCCACAAAAUUCUUGGUGAAGUCUUCAGAUGACUUUGCCAGAGAAGCCUUGGAUACGUAGGCGUCUCUAACUUCACCUGGGGGUGUUUCCUACACUCUGUCCACGUGAGUGACUGGGGUGCCCAUUGGGUUGAACUAAUAGGGAAGGUGUCCAGACCAACUCCUGGCGUGAUGGGUUGGCUAAGGAGGGAAGGAAGGAUACUCUUACAUGCCAGGAACUCUGCUAACCCCUUUACAAAGAUC
This 501-nucleotide long non-coding RNA is filed under the name Phascolarctos cinereus (koala). RNAcentral describes it as "lncRNA (ENSPCIG00000032983.1)". The record is from RNAcentral. Lineage: Eukaryota; Metazoa; Chordata; Mammalia; Diprotodontia; Phascolarctidae.